GGCAGUGUGGCUCCCUGGUUAGAGCGCUGGACUAGGACCUGGGAGGCCAGGGUUCAAAUCCCCACUUAGCCG
Podarcis lilfordi (Lilford's wall lizard) is the source of this 72-nucleotide non-coding RNA. The record is from the annotation of a GenBank genome assembly. Lineage: Eukaryota; Metazoa; Chordata; Lepidosauria; Squamata; Lacertidae.